AGUCGAACGGGCCAUUACUCUUUGGAGUGAUGGUUAGUGGCGAACGGGUGAGUAAAAGGUAGGGACCUACCCCGAGGACAGAGAUAGCUACUGGAAACGGUAGGUAAACUCUGAUAAGCCCGAGAGGGGAAAGUGGAAGGCAGCCUUGGGAUGGACCUACUAUCCAUCAGGUAGUUGGUGAGGUAAAGGCUCACCAAGCCGAUGACGGAUAACCGGUGUGAGAGCAUGUACGGUCACAAGGGCACUGAGACACGGGCCCUACUCCUACGGGAGGCAGCAGUGGGGAAUAUUGGACAAUGGGCGAAAGCCUGAUCCAGCGACGCCGCGUGAAGGAAGAAGUCCUUCGGGAUGUAAACUUCUGAACUAAUCGAAUAAAAGGGUAGUGGACACACUACAGAAGAAGGUAGAUUAGGAAAAGUCCCGGCUAACUACGUGCCAGCAGCCGCGGUAAGACGUAGGGGGCGAGCGUUGCCCGGAAUCACUGGGUGUAAAGGGGACGUAGGCGGAUGAUCAAGUCAUCUGUGAAAAGAUUGCUCAACGAUUGGCUUGCGGAUGAAACUGGUCAUCUUGGGCGUAGCAGAGGUAGACGGAAUUACCUGAGUAGGGGUGAAAUCCGCAGAUACAGGUAAGAACGCCGGUGAAGAAGUUGGUCUACUAGGCUACAGCUGACGCUGAGGUCCGAAAGCCAGGGGAGCGAACCGGAUUAGAUACCCGGGUAGUCCUGGCUGUAAACGAUGCUCACUAGGUGUAGGGAGCGAAAGACUCUCUGUGCUGAAGCUAACGCGAUAAGUGAGCCACCUGGGGAGUACGUCCGCAAGGAUGAAACUCAAAGGAAUUGACGGGGGUCCGCACAAGCGGUGGAGCAUGUGGUUUAAUUCGAAGCUAACCGAAGAACCUUACCAGGGAUUGACAUGUAACUGAAGGUAGAGAAAUCUACUGGCCUGCCGUGAGGUAGGAGGUUACACAGGUGGUGCACGGUCGUCGUCAGCUCGUGCCGUGAGGUGUUGGGUUAAGUCCCACAACGAGCGCAACCCCUACAAUUAGUUACCAGCAAGUAAAGUUGGGGACACUAAUUGGACAGCCGCCGACGAGGCGGAGGAAGGAGGGGAUGACGUCAGAUAAGCGUGCCCCUUAUACUCUGGGCGACACACGUGCUACAAUGGGGAGGACAAAGGGAAGCGAAGCCGAGAGGUGGAGCGGAUCCGAAAAAACUCUCCGUAAUAUGGAUUGUAGGCUGAAACUCGCCUACAUGAAGCUGGAAUCGCUAGUAAUCGCAGGUCAGCCAAACUGCGGUGAAUACGUUCCCGGGCCUUGUACACACCGCCCGUCACGCCACCCGAGUUGGGAACACCUGAAGGCAGUA
Molecule: ribosomal RNA, 1363 nt
Filed under: uncultured bacterium
Lineage: Bacteria
Description: 16S ribosomal RNA
Rfam family: Bacterial small subunit ribosomal RNA
Source: RNAcentral